RNAcentral lists this long non-coding RNA (644 nucleotides) under Phoenix dactylifera (date palm). Its description in RNAcentral is "long non-coding RNA (PDAC_LNC005207)". The record is from RNAcentral. Lineage: Eukaryota; Viridiplantae; Streptophyta; Magnoliopsida; Arecales; Arecaceae.
CUUUAUUUUAUUGUCCUUGAAUAAUUCGAAAACAGACAUGCUAUAAAAGAAAUACAAAAGUUUAUCAUGAGAAGAGAUUAACCCAUCCAAUCUUCUUGUAAUCCUAAUAUCAACACGUUUUCGAGAGGGAAACAAAGAAAAAAAAAGAAAUGAAGUGUGUGUAUGUGUGUAUGUAUGCAAAUCAUCCUAAGCAAAUACCAUCGAAAGCUACUAAUAGUCCUUCCCCUUAAUUCUUGUUCCCGUUGGUUCCCCCACCCGGACCGGAGGGAGGUACGGGUCCUCUAGGAAGAACAUUGAACAACAGCGGACCGUACCCCUCCACAGGCUUCUGCUUCGGUCCUGAGCUCUUGGUCGUCACCUUUGAUGCCAUGUCGCAUGGCCGGGCUCGGGGAGGAUUAUGCCCAAAAGGCCUCUCCAGUGGCAACGCAAGGAUGGUUUCCUUCGGAGACGGGAAACCGCUUAUAGGCCUUGCAGUGGAUCGUUGGAAUAUAAUUAGAAGGAACAAGAUGAAGGUGAUCAUAUAGCGAGCUUGGUGUUGGACAGCCAUUGUUGGAGAGCAAGAGGGGUGUUCAAGGACUACUAAUUGAUCGAGGACGUUGCCAAAAGGUUUAUGGACAGUAGCUAGAAGGAAGGGAAAAGAGAGA